GAUGAAGAACGCAGCGAAAUGCGAUAAGUAAUGUGAAUUGCAGAAUUCAGUGAAUCAUCGAAUCUUUGAACGCACAUUGCGCCCCUUGGUAUUCCGAGGGGCAUGCCCGUUCGAGCGUCAUUAUACCCCUCAAGCCUAGCUUGGUGUUGGGGCCUGCUGUUACCGGCAGCCCUUAAAAUCAGUGGCGGUGCCAUCUGGCUCUAAGCGUAGUAAUACUUCUCGCUACAGGGUCCCGGUGGAUGCUUGCCAUCAACCCCUAAUUUUCUAUGGUUGACCUCGAAUCGGGUAGGGAUACCCGCUGAACUUAAGCAUAUCAAUAAGCGGAGGA
This 328-nucleotide unclassified non-coding RNA is filed under the name soil metagenome. RNAcentral's name for it is "partial contains 5.8S ribosomal RNA, internal transcribed spacer 2, and large subunit ribosomal RNA". The stretch from base 1 to 120 matches the Rfam family "5.8S ribosomal RNA", at positions 35 to 154 of the family's 154-position model. The record is from RNAcentral.